Dallia pectoralis (Alaska blackfish) is the source of this 71-nucleotide non-coding RNA. The record is from the annotation of a GenBank genome assembly. Lineage: Eukaryota; Metazoa; Chordata; Actinopteri; Esociformes; Umbridae.
GAGUUGGUAGCUCAGUGGAAGAGUGCAAGCUUCCAAUGUAUGAGGUCCUGGGUUCAAUCCCCAUCUUCUCG